UACAGAGGGUGCGAGCGUUGUCCGGAAUCACUGGGCGUAAAGGGCGCGUAGGCGGCUUGAUAAGCGUGCGGUGAAAGCCCGGGGCUCAACCCCGGGUCGGCCGUGCGAACUGUCGAGCUGGAGCACUGUAGAGGCAGGUGGAGUUCCGGGUGUAGCGGUGGAAUGCGUAGAGAUCCGGAAGAACACCGGUGGCGAAGGCGGCCUGCUGGGCAGUGGCUGACGCUGAGGCGCGACAGCGUGGGGAGCAAACAGG
This 253-nucleotide ribosomal RNA is filed under the name uncultured bacterium. RNAcentral describes it as "partial 16S ribosomal RNA". It matches the Rfam family "Bacterial small subunit ribosomal RNA", at positions 524 to 776 of the family's 1533-position model. The record is from RNAcentral.